GGCGAACGCUGGCGGCGGGCUUAACACAUGCAAGUCGAACGGAAAGGCCCUGCUUUUGUGGGGUGCUCGAGUGGCGAACGGGUGAGUAACACGUGAGUAACCUGCCCUUGACUUUGGGAUAACUUCAGGAAACUGGGGCUAAUACCGGAUAGGAGCUCCUGCUGCAUGGUAGGGGUUGGAAAUUUUCGGCGGUUGGGGAUGGACUCGCGGCUUAUCAGCUUGUUGGUGGGGUAGUGGCUUACCAAGGCUUUGACGGGUAGCCGGCCGGAGAGGGUGACCGGCCACAUUGGGACUGAGAUACGGCCCAGACUCCUACGGGAGGCAGCAGUGGGGAAUAUGGCACAAUGGGCGGAAGCCUGAUGCAGCAACGCCGCGUGCGGGAUGACGGCCUGCGGGUUGUAAACCGCUUUCGCCUGUGACGAAGCGUGAGUGACGGUAAUGGGUAAAGAAGCACCGGCUAACUACGUG
This 468-nucleotide ribosomal RNA is filed under the name uncultured bacterium. RNAcentral's name for it is "partial 16S ribosomal RNA". It matches the Rfam family "Bacterial small subunit ribosomal RNA", at positions 28 to 507 of the family's 1533-position model. The record is from RNAcentral.